Molecule: long non-coding RNA, 362 nt
Organism: Pipra filicauda (Wire-tailed manakin)
Lineage: Eukaryota; Metazoa; Chordata; Aves; Passeriformes; Pipridae
Exons: 3
Source: RefSeq, a predicted model, not a curated record
CACUGUGUUAAUCCAUUUUCUUGACCAGGGCAUUCACACACUCUUGGAUCUGGGCCAGAUGCUGAUGGAGAUGCCUUUCCAACUCAGUAGAUCUCGAAAGAUCAUUCAGAAGAAUAACAUCAAAGCAUACCUUGCAUAGCACUGGGGACCCUUGUCUUUGAGAUAUACUUUGCAUCUCUUAAGAAGUGACAGCUAUGCUCUCUACAAGAACACAGCCCUUGAAAAUGUCCAAACACCAAGACCUACACCACUGGCCAGUGAAAUUACUGCUUAUAUUUGCAUCAAGAAAGAGAAGGUCCACACUGAGCACAAUGAAAAAUGAACUACUCACAACCCUGCAUAAAGAUGAACUUGAUUCGUAA